UACGAAGGGGGCUAGCGUUGUUCGGAAUCACUGGGCGUAAAGCGCACGCAGGCGGAUCGUUAAGUCAGGGGUGAAAUCCCGAGGCUCAACCUCGGAACUGCCUUUGAUACUGGGUGUCUUGAGUGUGAGAGAGGUAUGUGGAACUCCGAGUGUAGAGGUGAAAUUCGUAGAUAUUCGGAAGAACACCAGUGGCGAAGGCGACAUACUGGCUCAUUACUGACGCUGAGGCUCGAAAGCGUGGGGAGCAAACAGG
This 253-nucleotide ribosomal RNA is filed under the name uncultured bacterium. Its description in RNAcentral is "partial 16S ribosomal RNA". It matches the Rfam family "Bacterial small subunit ribosomal RNA", at positions 524 to 776 of the family's 1533-position model. The record is from RNAcentral.